UGGGGAAUCUUGGACAAUGGGGGCAACCCUGAUCCAGCCAUGCCGCGUGAGUGACGAAGGCCCUAGGGUCGUAAAGCUCUUUCGCCAGGGAAGAUAAUGACGGUACCUGGUAAAGAAACCCCGGCUAACUCCGUGCCAGCAGCCGCGGUAAUACGGAGGGGGUUAGCGUUGUUCGGAAUUACUGGGCGUAAAGCGCACGUCGGCGGACCAGUCAGUCAGAGGUGAAAUCCCGGGGCUCAACCUCGGAACUGCCUAUGAUACUGCUGGUCUCGACAUCGAGAGAGGUGAGUGGAAUUCCGAGUGUAGAGGUGAAAUUCGUAGAUAUUCGGAGGAACACCAGUGGCGAAGGCGGCUCACUGGCUCGAUACUGACGCUGAGGUGCGAAAGCGUGGGGAGCAAACAGGAUUAGAUACCCGCGUAGUCC
This 424-nucleotide ribosomal RNA is filed under the name uncultured prokaryote. RNAcentral's name for it is "bacterial SSU rRNA". It matches the Rfam family "Bacterial small subunit ribosomal RNA", at positions 355 to 796 of the family's 1533-position model. The record is from RNAcentral.